Molecule: non-coding RNA, 1874 nt
Organism: Electrophorus electricus (electric eel)
Lineage: Eukaryota; Metazoa; Chordata; Actinopteri; Gymnotiformes; Gymnotidae
Source: RefSeq, a predicted model, not a curated record
UAUAGCCAGGACUCUGAGCAGUGGCACAUCUGCUCCACAACCCCGCCUAGAGACAAAGGGAUGGCACUUUCUCUGUGGCAGCUCCCAGACUGUGGAACAGUGUGCCUCAACUCAUGAGAUCCUCAUACCUUUUCUCUGUGGCAUAUGAGUCCACUUGAAGGUACUGAAUUACUAUUCAACGCACAGCAUCUGCAAUAAUAAUUUAGAGAGCAGCCUGAAUUUUUCAUGGCAUCGAUUCAAGGUCCUGGGAUCUUUCCUUUGGGAUUUGGGUCCACGCUGCCUCAAUAGUGCAGGUCCUGAGUCCAUGCAUUUGUCCUGCGAUCCUGUAAAUUGCACUAGCCUAUGCUAAACCUACCCUACCUGACUGAUAUCUGGCUACUGUGCACACCAGUGGAGUAAAAGGACACUAUCAGACUCAUGGGACCACAAUGAGAUGAUAGGUGCUCCAUUGUGUGGUGCAUUCUUGUGCUAGAAGUGUCCAAUUGAAAGAGGGUAGAAUGUCAUAAAUGGAUGCACUAUCAGCAGCAUGGCAUAGCUCCACCAAGAAAAUGCUUCAGCUGGUUUUCCCAGAUUCAUGCUGGGAUUAAAGAUUCUGACCACCUUUACAUCACUAUAGAAACUGAGGUUCAUUAGAUCAGGCAAUGCCUACCUGUCUUCAGCCAUGUGGUUUUGGCAAUCAAGUGACCACUGUAGAAUAGAAUAGCCUUUAUUUUCAUUGUAUGAGUACAAUGCAAUUCACUGUGCUUUUUCUGAUGAGCUACAUAGUAAAGUAAAGCAGAUGAGAACUGUAUAUAGAAAGAGAAUUUUUCCCUCUUUUUGGUUAUCGUCAUGGUAUGCUAGGCACCCUGCAGGACACCUACUGUCACAAUCACCUGAUUAUUGAGUGCUUGCACCUGUGCCUUGUUUGUCUUCCCUAUAUAAAGCCCACAGUUACACUCCCCCAGUGCUCUGCAUUACUUGCCUACUGCUCUGUCCAAGAUGCCCUGAUUGCUGCCUGUGCUGCAUCUCAGCAGUUCUACUGCUAGUGAUUAGCAAUUAUAGGGUUUAGCCAGCUCACCGCUUUGGUCUUCAGUUUGUUUCGUUUAUUCUGAAAUAGAGAAUAAAGACACUCCCUCACUACAUUGCUGCUGCCACCACUAAUGCUUGGUUAGUCCAACAACAGAUUAAACCUCUUAUAUCAAGAUAUAGAUUAUAUAUGUAUGUGUUCUCUGUUUGCUGGCCAAACAUUGGCAUAGAAGCAGGUGUGAGUGUGUGUGUGUGUUUGUCUAUAUGGCAAUCACACACCCCAGAGUAGCACAUUAUUUACCACUAGUGUAAUAUUCGUAUAAUUUCUGAUCCAGAUUAUAUUACGUUUUAUAUGCUUUAUAUUAACAUUAACUUUAGAGAAUUAUUUAUAGUCUACAUGCAUUAUGGUGGCUGUGUACCACUCUGCAGUUAAUGGUUGUAACAUAGUAAUAGUAAUAUUUACUUAAGCAAAAGCUAACAAACCUCUUAUUAUAGUAUCCAUAAGUCCAUUUCCAGACAGAUACAUUCUCCCUACUUGAACUGUAAACUACACAGUACUGCAAGAUACUGGUUUGAACUGUAAACUACACUGAAUUUCUUUUGUAUUGUUUGUUAUUAAAUAUCUUCAGGCUAACAUGCAGCAAUGGCAGACUGCCAUCUAGGGGUGAAAUUAUGCUUGAAUGUUUUGUUUCAGUAAGUCUUAAACUUCAUUUAAAGGCAACUGAGACUAUGCUGAGUAUCACCGGACCCAUGCAUGUGCAAAACAUUUGAAAUGCAUUUCCCCAGUUUUUUUUUUUAAUCAAUUAAAUAAUUGAUUUAUAGCUGAAUAUCAUGAACAUGUUUAUACCUAAUUUUCUUACCCAACAUAA